This is a non-coding RNA of Potamilus streckersoni, 74 nucleotides long. Lineage: Eukaryota; Metazoa; Mollusca; Bivalvia; Unionida; Unionidae. The record is from the annotation of a GenBank genome assembly.
UGCUCUGGUGGCCUAGUGGUUGGAGCAUCUGCCUCAGAUGUGGGAGGUCGUGGGUUCAAUCCCCAGUCGAGUCA